This 714-nucleotide ribosomal RNA is filed under the name uncultured prokaryote. RNAcentral's name for it is "bacterial SSU rRNA". It matches the Rfam family "Bacterial small subunit ribosomal RNA", at positions 28 to 732 of the family's 1533-position model. The record is from RNAcentral.
AUUGAACGCUGGCGGCAGGCCUAACACAUGCAAGUCGAGCGGUAACACAGAGGAGCUUGCUCCUUGGGUGACGAGCGGCGGACGGGUGAGUAAUGCCUGGGGAUCUGCCCGAUAGAGGGGGAUAACUACGGGAAACUGUAGCUAAUACCGCAUAAUGUCUACGGACCAAAGUGGGGGCUCUUCGGACCUCAUGCUAUCGGAUGAACCCAGGUGGGAUUAGCUAGUUGGUGAGGUAAUGGCUCACCAAGGCGACGAUCUCUAACUGGUUUGAGAGAAUGACCAGUCACACUGGAACUGAGACACGGUCCAGACUCCUACGGGAGGCAGCAGUGGGGAAUAUUGCACAAUGGGCGCAAGCCUGAUGCAGCCAUGCCGCGUGUGUGAAGAAGGCCUUCGGGUUGUAAAGCACUUUCAGCGGGGAGGAAGGGUCACUAGUUAAUACCUAGUGGCAUUGACGUUACUCGCAGAAGAAGCACCGGCUAACUCCGUGCCAGCAGCCGCGGUAAUACGGAGGGUGCAAGCGUUAAUCGGAAUUACUGGGCGUAAAGCGCACGCAGGCGGUUUGUUAAGUCAGAUGUGAAAUCCCCGAGCUCAACUUGGGAACUGCAUUUGAAACUGGCAAGCUAGAGUCUUGUAGAGGGGGGUAGAAUUCCAGGUGUAGCGGUGAAAUGCGUAGAGAUCUGGAGGAAUACCGGUGGCGAAGGCGGCCCCUGG